GCCAGGCAUGGUGGCUCAUGCCUGUAAUCCUAGCACUUUGGGAGGCCGAGGUGGGCGGAUCACCUGAGGUCAGGAGUUCAAGACCAGCCUGGCCAACAUGGUGAAACCCCAUCUCUA
This 117-nucleotide non-coding RNA is filed under the name Gorilla gorilla gorilla (western lowland gorilla). Lineage: Eukaryota; Metazoa; Chordata; Mammalia; Primates; Hominidae. The record is from Rfam by way of RNAcentral.